Molecule: long non-coding RNA, 961 nt
Organism: Hyla sarda
Lineage: Eukaryota; Metazoa; Chordata; Amphibia; Anura; Hylidae
Exons: 3
Source: RefSeq, a predicted model, not a curated record
GGAGGUCUGGGGUACAGAGUCUGUAAUGGGAGCCGUACAGACAAGACACUCCCCUCUACUCUCUGCCUCCUCACUGCUCCUGGCCCCUCCUCCUGUCCCCACAGUGACUGCAGCUGCUCGGGGGAGGAUCUGAUAUACUGGUGAUGCAGUCGAGGAGGGGACUACAGUUUGCACAAGUGCCACAUGAGAUCCACGAGAACGCCUUCUCUACCCCAGUGCUCUUCCUUUUGCAUUCUACUAUUCAUGUUUUGGAUCUGCAGCUACCUGCAAGUUAACCUGAACAGCAAAGAAGAAUGGGUGGAUGCCCGGAUGAUGCCCUUCGGGUGAGCGGAUCGGGACAGCAAGAUCUCGUCGGUUCCCGAGGUAACUUCCCGUAAGCACUACAGAGGAACCCACAGAAUACAUCAGAUGUGAGUGAGGAGAAGUGCGCUACAGGAACAUAAUUGUGACCUCUUGUCUUCUCCUCGCCUCCCGAGUUUGGAGAUGACUCCAGCUGUCUUCCCUGCCCUUCUCAAUACAUGUGAUAAUCAUACUCAUUUUUCCCAGUCUAACCAGACAUAGACUCUACUAAGACUGGGAUUUUUUUUUUCUUUAUAUGAUUUGGAACCAUUGGAUCUGCAGUGAUAUAACAAAAAAAAAUAAAAAAAAAUACAAAGCUUAAAGUGCCAGAAGGUGCCUUUUUCUAUUUGUUUGUUUCAUGGUACGCUGCACCAGGCAAUGACCUGUGACGGGAGAGCCGGGCACACAACAGAAACAGCUUCACCCGCUCAAAGAAAACGUAAAAUUAACAAUGAUCCGUUCAUUGCUCUAUGCAGGGAAUCGGAAGGAUACAUUUUGUUACCGCUGUUUUAUCAUGAUUAUAGCUGGUCGAUCCGAUUAAGGCUGGAGUCUGCAUUACGGUCACAAUAUUCCGAUUUAUGCCGUUCUUCACAACCCUGGAACAUGGAGGGUACAGACGUAU